RNAcentral lists this ribosomal RNA (379 nucleotides) under uncultured cyanobacterium. Its description in RNAcentral is "bacterial SSU rRNA". It matches the Rfam family "Bacterial small subunit ribosomal RNA", at positions 376 to 770 of the family's 1533-position model. Lineage: Bacteria; Bacillati; Cyanobacteriota. The record is from RNAcentral.
CGAAAGCCUGACGGAGCAACGCCGCGUGGGGGAAGAAGGUUCUUGGAUUGUAAACCCCUUUUCUCAGGGAAGAAGUUCUGACGGUACCUGAGGAAUCAGCCUCGGCUAACUCCGUGCCAGCAGCCGCGGUAAUACGGAGGAGGCAAGCGUUAUCCGGAAUUACUGGGCGUAAAGCGUCCGUAGGGGGCUCGUCAAGUCUGCUGUCAAAGCUCGGAGCUCAACUCCGGUUCGGCAGUGGAAACUGGUGGGCUAGAGGGCGACAGGGGUAGAGGGAAUUCCCAGUGUAGCGGUGAAAUGCGUAGAGAUUGGGAAGAACACCGGUGGCGAAAGCGCUCUACUGGGUCGCACCUGACCCUCAGGGACGAAAGCUAAGGUAGCG